AAAUAUAAGACAAACUUUAAGAAUAGUGAAAAACAUCAAUUCACAAAACACUAGUGUUAAAUCUUAAUAAGAACUCUUAAUCCGUCAAAAUAUAUACUUAGAUCAAAUAUAUGUAUAAUUUCACAUUUUUAUUAUUUCCAAAUAUUUUUAUAAGUAAAUGUAUAAUAUAAAAAUAAAUAAUAAGUAAAAUAUACAUUAUAAGAUAUAAAUAUUACAUUAAACACUUAUCGUAAUAUUAUCAUUUAUUAUAAAGCAAAAAAUAGAAUAAGUAAAUAUACAAUAUAAGAAAAAUAAACUAUAAGUAAAUAUACAAUAUAAAAAAUAAAAAAUAGAAAAUAAUUAAACAUCUAUCUGAAAAAAUUAUAAUAAAACAAAUAAUCUGUAAAUAUACAAUAUAAGAAAGGUUUUUUUGCAAAAUUGACUUAUAACUUAAAGUCAAUCACAAAACUAACUUCCAUUUUUUUUUGGAAAUUGGUUUUGCCCUAUUCACCCCACAAAUUCAUAUAAUUCACGAAAAUGCCAUCAAUUUUUUUUUUAUUUUUUUUUCGAAAAUGACAUUUUUACUCUCUAACCCUCAUCAUCUUCAAGUAAUUACAAGAUUGCCAUUGUCAUCAAUACCCUAACCACCAUGAACAACCAAUUUGA
RNAcentral lists this long non-coding RNA (645 nucleotides) under Brassica rapa (field mustard). RNAcentral's name for it is "long non-coding RNA (BRAP_LNC005149)". Lineage: Eukaryota; Viridiplantae; Streptophyta; Magnoliopsida; Brassicales; Brassicaceae. The record is from RNAcentral.